RNAcentral lists this unclassified non-coding RNA (269 nucleotides) under Hevea brasiliensis (rubber tree). The record is from RNAcentral. Lineage: Eukaryota; Viridiplantae; Streptophyta; Magnoliopsida; Malpighiales; Euphorbiaceae.
UCCAUGCAUGCAAGAGGAUAAAUGAGGGGGAACUAUUUGUAGCAAAAUCAAGCCAGCAAUUAAAUAAAAUGCAGAGAUGCAAUAUACUACAAGCAACAGAAAAACUAACUGCUAAUUUCCCUAUCCAUUUUCAUUCUCUUUGCACUUUGCACCUCUGAUAUGCUACUGCUUCGUUGCUGUGAAGAUGCAUCAUGCUGGUAUGCACAAUUGGCUCCAUGCCGGCAUCCUCUCGAACUGUUAAAAUAAAUACAAGGCUUCAUAAUCUUGGG